This 659-nucleotide ribosomal RNA is filed under the name uncultured Actinomycetes bacterium. Its description in RNAcentral is "SSU rRNA". It matches the Rfam family "Bacterial small subunit ribosomal RNA", at positions 245 to 915 of the family's 1533-position model. Lineage: Bacteria; Bacillati; Actinomycetota; Actinomycetes. The record is from RNAcentral.
CUUGUUGGUGGGGUAACGGCCUACCAAGGCGACGACGGGUAGCCGGCCUGAGAGGGCGACCGGCCACACUGGGACUGAGACACGGCCCAGACUCCUACGGGAGGCAGCAGUGGGGAAUAUUGCGCAAUGGGCGAAAGCCUGACGCAGCGACGCCGCGUGCGGGAUGAAGGCCUUCGGGUUGUAAACCGCUUUCAGCAGGGACGAAGCGAAAGUGACGGUACCUGCAGAAGAAGCGCCGGCUAACUACGUGCCAGCAGCCGCGGUAACACGUAGGGCGCAAGCGUUGUCCGGAAUUAUUGGGCGUAAAGAGCUCGUAGGUGGCCCGCCACGUCUGCUGUGAAAAUCCAGGGCUUAACCCUGGACUUGCAGUGGAUACGGGCGGGCUAGAGGUAGGUAGGGGAGAAUGGAAUUCCCGGUGUAGCGGUGAAAUGCGCAGAUAUCGGGAGGAACACCGGUGGCGAAGGCGGUUCUCUGGGCCUUACCUGACACUGAGGAGCGAAAGCGUGGGGAGCGAACAGGAUUAGAUACCCUGGUAGUCCACGCCGUAAACGUUGGGCGCUAGGUGUGGGGUCCUUCCACGGAUUCCGUGCCGCAGCUAACGCAUUAAGCGCCCCGCCUGGGGAGUACGGCCGCAAGGCUAAAACUCAAAGGAAUUGACG